UACGUAGGGGGCGAGCGUUGUCCGGAUUUAUUGGGCGUAAAGAGCUCGUAGGCGGCUUAGCAAGUCGGGUGUGAAAACUCCAGGCUCAACCUGGAGACGCCACUCGAGACUGCUAUGGCUAGAGUCCGGUAGGGGACCACGGAAUUCCUGGUGUAGCGGUGAAAUGCGCAGAUAUCAGGAGGAACACCGGUGGCGAAGGCGGUUCUCUGGGCCUUACCUGACGCUGAGGAGCGAAAGCGUGGGGAGCAAACAGG
Molecule: ribosomal RNA, 254 nt
Filed under: uncultured bacterium
Lineage: Bacteria
Description: partial 16S ribosomal RNA
Rfam family: Bacterial small subunit ribosomal RNA
Source: RNAcentral